This 253-nucleotide ribosomal RNA is filed under the name uncultured bacterium. Its description in RNAcentral is "partial 16S ribosomal RNA". It matches the Rfam family "Bacterial small subunit ribosomal RNA", at positions 524 to 776 of the family's 1533-position model. The record is from RNAcentral.
AACGUAGGAGACAAACGUUAUCCGGAGUUACUGGGCGUAAAGGGCGUGCAGGUGGUCUGUUAAGUCUGGCGUGAAAGCUCCUGGCUAAACCGGGAGAGGUCGUUGGAUACUGGCGGACUAGAGGACGGUAGAGGCGUGUGGAGUUCCGGGUGUAGUGGUGAAAUGCGUAGAGAUCCGGAGGAACACCAGUGGCGAAGGCGACACGCUGGGCCGUACCUGACACUGAUACGCGACAGCAUGGGGAGCGAACGGG